RNAcentral lists this ribosomal RNA (460 nucleotides) under uncultured bacterium. Its description in RNAcentral is "partial 16S ribosomal RNA". It matches the Rfam family "Bacterial small subunit ribosomal RNA", at positions 338 to 795 of the family's 1533-position model. The record is from RNAcentral.
CCUACGGGGUGCAGCAGUGAGGAAUAUUGGUCAAUGGACGAGAGUCUGAACCAGCCAAGUAGCGUGAAGGAUGACUGCCCUAUGGGUUGUAAACUUCUUUUAUAAAGGAAUAAAACGAGGCACGUGUGCCUUUUUGCAUGUACUUUAUGAAUAGGGAUCGGCUAACUCCGUGCCAGCAGCCGCGGUAAUACGUAUGGUGCAAGCGUUAUCCGGAUUUACUGGGUGUAAAGGGAGCGCAGGCGGCACGCUAAGCCUGAUGUGAAAACCCGCGGCCCAACCGCGGGAGUGCAUUGGGAACUGGCGAGCUGGAGUACCGGAGGGGCAGGCGGAAUUCCUAGUGUAGCGGUGAAAUGCGUAGAUAUUAGGAGGAACACCAGUGGCGAAGGCGGCCUGCUGGACGGAGACUGACGCUGAGGCUCGAAAGCGUGGGGAGCAAACAGGAUUAGAUACCCUUGUAGUC